UACGUAGGGUGCAAGCGUUGUCCGGAAUUAUUGGGCGUAAAGAGCUUGUAGGCGGUUUGUCGCGUCUGCUGUGAAAUUUCGGGGCUCAACCCCGAACUUGCAGUGGGUACGGGCAGACUAGAGUGUGGCAGGGGAGACUGGAAUUCCUGGUGUAGCGGUGAAAUGCGCAGAUAUCAGGAGGAACACCGAUGGCGAAGGCAGGUCUCUGGGCCAUAACUGACGCUGAGAAGCGAAAGCAUGGGGAGCGAACAGG
Molecule: ribosomal RNA, 253 nt
Filed under: uncultured bacterium
Lineage: Bacteria
Description: partial 16S ribosomal RNA
Rfam family: Bacterial small subunit ribosomal RNA
Source: RNAcentral